CAAAGGAAUGACCGGGACCCGCACAAGCGGUGGAGCAUGUGGUUAAUUCGAAGCCAACGCGAAGAACCUUACCAAAUCUUGACAUCCCUCUGACCGGUCUUUAAUCGGACCUUCUCUUCGGAGCAGAGGUGACAGGUGGUGCAUGGUUGUCGUCAGCUCGUGUCGUGAGAUGUUGGGUUAAGUCCCGCAACGAGCGCAACCCCUAUCCUCAGCAGCCAGCAUUUAAGGUGGGCACUCUGGGGAGACUGCCAGGGAUAACCUGGAGGAAGGCGGGGAUGACGUCAAAUCAUCAUGCCCCUUAUGAUUUGGGCUACACACGUGCUACAAUGGCGUAAACAAAGGGAAGCGAGAUUGUGAGAUGGAGCAAAUCCCAAAAAUAACGUCCCAGUUCGGACUGUAGUCUGCAACCCGACUACACGAAGCUGGAAUCGCUAGUAAUCGCGGAUCAGAAUGCCGCGGUGAAUACGUUCCCGGGUCUUGUACACACCGCCCGUCACACCAUGGGAGUCAGUAACGCCCGAAGUCAGUGACCUAACUCAAAGAAGGAUGUGCCGAAGGCGGGA
RNAcentral lists this ribosomal RNA (563 nucleotides) under uncultured bacterium. RNAcentral's name for it is "bacterial SSU rRNA". It matches the Rfam family "Bacterial small subunit ribosomal RNA", at positions 902 to 1467 of the family's 1533-position model. The record is from RNAcentral.